GCUGAGCUUAGUAAUGUGGGCUUGUAACCCAAAUGGGGGCAUUAAUGUGGUGGAAUGUUGGGCUGUCCCAGAUGGUUGGGCUUGGUGGGCUAAUUUCUGGCUUGCCCUAUCCAAGCUCAGAGUUGGAUCAUGUGGCCCAAUUGAAGAAAUGGGCUGCUUGAUUCCUAAAGUGGGGUGGACCGCGUGAGGCUGGUUUCACAGAGCAACGAACAGCUCCCGCUCUGAGCAGUGGAAGGAUAACGAGUCGGUGCCUUCCAAGUUCAGUAACACCUUAUGGGCUGCUCCAAUUAAACCACCACUUUU
Molecule: signal recognition particle RNA, 303 nt
Filed under: Solanum tuberosum (potato)
Lineage: Eukaryota; Viridiplantae; Streptophyta; Magnoliopsida; Solanales; Solanaceae
Description: SRP RNA Plant_SRP
Rfam family: Plant signal recognition particle RNA
Source: Rfam by way of RNAcentral